UACGUAGGGUGCGAGCGUUAAUCGGAAUUAUUGGGCGUAAAGCGCACGUAGGCGGCUUUGCAAGUCCCAUGUGAAAGCCCACGGCUUAACCGUGGAAGUGCAUGGGAAACUGCAGAGCUUGAGUACUUAAGAGGAUCGCGGAAUUCCCGGUGUAGAGGUGAAAUUCGUAGAUAUCGGGAGGAACACCAGUGGCGAAGGCGGCGAUCUGGGAAGAUACUGACGCUGAGGUGCGAAAGCGUGGGGAGCAAACAGG
Molecule: ribosomal RNA, 253 nt
Filed under: uncultured bacterium
Lineage: Bacteria
Description: partial 16S ribosomal RNA
Rfam family: Bacterial small subunit ribosomal RNA
Source: RNAcentral